AGGAAUGCUUAGGAAUCUGCCUAUUAGUGGGGGACAACAUUCCGAAAGGAAUGCUAAUACCGCAUACGUCCUACGGGAGAAAGCAGGGGAUCUUCGGACCUUGCGCUAAUAGAUGAGCCUAAGUCGGAUUAGCUAGUUGGUGGGGUAAAGGCCUACCAAGGCGACGAUCUGUAGCGGGUCUGAGAGGAUGAUCCGCCACACUGGGACUGAGACACGGCCCAGACUCCUACGGGAGGCAGCAGUGGGGAAUAUUGGACAAUGGGGGGAACCCUGAUCCAGCCAUGCCGCGUGUGUGAAGAAGGCCUUAUGGUUGUAAAGCACUUUAAGCGAGGAGGAGGCUACUGAGACUAAUACUCUUGGAUAGUGGACGUUACUCGCAGAAUAAGCACCGGCUAACUCUGUGCCAGCAGCCGCGGUAAUACAGAGGGUGCGAGCGUUAAUCGGAUUUACUGGGCGUAAAGCGUGCGUAGGCGGCUUUUUAAGUCGGAUGUGAAAUCCCCGAGCUUAACUUGGGAAUUGCAUUCGAUACUGGGAAGCUAGAGUAUGGGAGAGGAUGGUAGAAUUCCAGGUGUAGCGGUGAAAUGCGUAGAGAUCUGGAGGAAUACCGAUGGCGAAGGCAGCCAUCUGGCCUAAUACUGACGCUGAGGUACGAAAGCAUG
RNAcentral lists this ribosomal RNA (659 nucleotides) under uncultured bacterium. Its description in RNAcentral is "bacterial SSU rRNA". It matches the Rfam family "Bacterial small subunit ribosomal RNA", at positions 109 to 763 of the family's 1533-position model. The record is from RNAcentral.